UUGACUAAACACACUCACGCAGAGACUGUCCCUUUAAACCUUCGUCCCUUUAAACCGUACCCAAAUAAACGCUUUCGAUUCGCGUAGGCAGACCAGGCUAGCUCUCUCUGACCGGGCCAUGUGACGUAUUUUUAGUCAUAUGCUCCUAGUGAGAGUAACCCGCCGGCUAGGGAGUCUGGGAGUAGGCUGGGAGUGUUAACUGGUUAUUUAACAGAGUAGAAGAUGAGAGAGAGACUGGGAUGUGUGAUGGAUGAGUGACAGGGAGAAGAAGGGUGUAAUCUGUUUGACGUAAGGGUGACAGGCUGUGUGCGUCCGUGUGUACAUGUAUGUGGGUGGGUGUGGGUGACUGGGUGUGUGUGGUGGGUCAGUGUCCGUAUGUAUGUGUGUAUUACCCUUGUGAGACCCGCUCUGUGUGUAUGUGUGUGUGUGUGUGUGUGUGUAGGGAGGGAGAGACACGUGAGUAAAGAAGGGAGGAUAGGGGUCAGGAAAGAGGAGGAGGAGGAAGAGGGCUGACUGGGUGGAGCUCUUAAAGAUAGUAUUCAGAAAUUACGUGUUUUCUUGACGGCUUCGCUGAGUCACUGUGUUAGGGAAGAGGAAGAGGAGGAGGAUGAGGAUAUAGAAGUGAUGUAAGCAUAGUGUUGCCACGGUGACGGUGGUGGUGGGCAUGAUACAGAUGCGGGAGCUGGAGUUUGUGCCCAAUGGAGACAUGCAGCUGGGCAAAUUCUGUUGCUCAUUGCUCAGACUGGAGUUUACAUGUAUACCUCCUUCACCAUCAUUGGUGGACACUUCACCAUGAGUGAUGCUUGAGCUGUCACGGUGCUGCUGCUGUUGUCUGCCAUCAUCCCCCUGACACAGACCACCCUGCAGACCACCUUCAUCCUGGGUGCCACACGUCACUGCUGCUACAACUCAGAGCAACUGGAGCGCAAGCCAGGAAGGGAGAUAGUAACUUUUCACUUAAUUUGUUGUUUAUUUGAGGGCCUAAUGACAGACACAUAAUGGAAUGAGUAUUUGUGAAUGUUUGUUUAUAUCUAGAUACAGCAUUCACAUAUCUUUUAAGUGCCACCUUCCAAAAACAAUGUCAGCCAGAAAAAUAACUGAUGAAUCUAAUUACAUUUCAAGUCAAAAAGUUUUCCUUUAACCACUUUGCUCCAGAUGCUUAAAAACAUGCGUUGCUCACAUACAUGGCGUCGCGUAGGCUCGUGAGUGGUAACUUAUCUAAUUUCUAAUAAUUUCUAAUAUAAUUUCUGUGUGUGUGUGUGUGUGUGUGUGUGUGUGUGUGUGUGUGUGUGUGUGUGUGUGUGUGUGUGUGUUUUAUGUAUGAGUGACACUGGCCAAGGGCAACAAAAAUCCAAUAAAAAAAUAUGCCCACUGAAAUGGCAGUCCCAUAAAAGGGUCAAAGCAGUGGUCAAAAGUUGAUGAAUAAGUGUCUUGAAACCUCCCUGUUGAAGGAAUUCAAGUCAUAGGAAGGUGGAAAUACAGAAGCAGGCAGGGAGUUCCAGAGAUUACCAGAGAAAGGGAUGAAUGAUUGAGAAUACUUGUUAACUCUUGCAUUAGAGAAGUGGACAGAAUAGGGGUGAGAGAAAUAAGAAAAUCUUGUGCAGCAAGGCCGUGGAAGGAGGGGAAGCAUGCAGUUAGCAAGAUCAGAAGAGCAGUUAGCAUGAAAAUAGCGGUAGAAGACAGCUAGAGAUGCAACAUUGCGGCGGUGAGAGAGAGGCUGAAGACAGUCAGUUAUGUGUGUGUGUGUGUGUGUGUGUGUGUGUGUGUGUGCGCUGAUGCAGCUGAGAAGGUUGCCUUAUGAUAAUUAUUGACAAAUGAAGGUAAUGGAUGCGCAUGUCAUUACUACUUUUUUAAGUGUGUGUGUAUGUGUGUGUGUUAUGUACACACACACACACACACACACACACACACACACACACACACACACACACACACACACACACACACACACACACACACACACACACACACACAGAGAAGUAAUAGACACGCAUCCUUUACCUUCAUUCAUCAAUAAUUGUCAUAAGACGACCUUCCCAGCUGCAUCAUUACACACACACACACACACACACACACACACUUACACACCACGUAGUGUAGUGGUUAGCAUGCUCGGCUCACAACCAAGAAGGCCCAGGUUCGAAUCCCGGGCACGGUGAGGCAGAUGGACAAGCCUCUUAAUGUGUAGCCCUCUUAAUGUGUAGCCUCUUAAUGUGUAGGUACAGGAUGUAACCCGAGGUGAUGUGACUUCGCUGCCCUGGUGUGUGGUGUGUCAUUGGCCUCAGUCCUACCCAAAGAUCAGUCACCAUGAGCUCUGAGCUCUUACACACACACACACACACACACACACACACACACACACACACACACACAGAGAGAGAGAGAGAGAGAGAGAGAGAGAGAGAGAGAGAGAGAGAGAGCAAAAUGGCCAUGAAUGAAACAGGGAGGAGGGGGAACUGUGUGUGAAUGAAAACAUCAUCUACGUGAAACAUUUGAUUGAUUAUAAAGCACAUGUGCAUCAUAUAUAGUCAUGAAUGUGGAGGAACAGCAGAGUGAGUGAUCAACCACAGAAAGGAGAGAGUCGGACAUGCGGAGAGAAUGGAAGGGGAACAAUUUGAGAAGAUAAGCAUGCAAAUACAUAAAUAUAAGGUGGAAUAACAGUGUUUGGUGGGAAGAUGAAAGAGAGAUGCCUGUUUAUGAAGCAAAAUGGUUGUGCAAGAGAGGAAUGAUUGGAAAACCAUUCCCACCAAAGCCAACAGACCUUACACCAUAUUUUUACAAACCACAGCAUCUCUAUUCAUCCAUUCUGUGUGUCUUCUCUUCUCUCUCUCUCUCCACUCUUAAUGCUGCUGUGGGUCUCUGGGCUGGAGUACAUCAGAGAAAGAUUGACACAGACUUAUAUAUGAGAGGAUGUUGUCUGUAACUAUGCUAUGGGGACAUUGCAAGUUUGUGGGGUGUAGUGAAUGAAUAAGUGUGUCCUCUAUAGCAUACUUAAAAACCACACUCCCCAAAAAUAGAAUUGCAAAUGGUAGCCAGAAUUUACAUGAAUACUGGAGGGUGCUGUCAGGCCAAACCAGCUCCCCAUCUGUGCCUAUGCAGUGUCUGGCCAGCCACUAGUGUGUUUUGGGGGCUCAGACCAGCAGAUUCCCACUGUUUAUUCACUGUUUGUGUUGAUGCAGUGUCUGGCCAGCCACUUGUGUGUUUUGGGGGCUCAGACCAGCAGAUUCCCACUGUUUAUUCACUGUUUGUGUUGAUGCAGUGUCUGGCCAGCCACUUGUGUGUUUUGGGGGCUCAGACCAGCAGAUUCCCAGUGUUUAUUCACUGUUUGUGUUGAUUUAGUGUUUGGCCAGCCACUUGUGUGUUUUGGGGGCUCAGACCAGCAGAUUCCCACUGUUUAUUCACUGUUUGUGUUGAUCUAGUGUUUGGCCAGCCACUUGUGUGUAUGUAGGGGACUCAGACCAGCAGAUUCCCACUGUUUAUCCACUGUUUGUGUUGAUCUAGUGUUUGGCCAGCCAGUUGUGUGUUUUGGGGGCUCAGACCAGCAGAUUCCAACUGUUUAUUCACUGUUUGUGUUGAUCUAGUGUUUGGCCAGCCACUUGUGUUUAUGUAGGGGAUUCAGACCAGCAGAUUCCCACUGUUUAUCCACUGUUUGUGUUGAUCUAGUGUUUGGCCAGCCAGUUGUGUGUUUUGGGGGCUCAGACCAGCAGAUUCCCACUGUUUAUUCACUGUUUGUGUUGAUGCAGUGUCUGGCCAGCCACUUGUGUGUUUUGGGGGCUCAGACCAGCAGAUUCCCACUGUUUAUUCACUGUUUGUGUUGAUGCAGUGUCUGGCCAGCCACUUGUGUGUUUUGGGGGCUCAGACCAGCAGAUUCCCAGUGUUUAUUCACUGUUUGUGUUGAUUUAGUGUUUGGCCAGCCACUUGUGUGUUUUGGGGGCUCAGACCAGCAGAUUCCCACUGUUUAUUCACUGUUUGUGUUGAUCUAGUGUUUGGCCAGCCACUUGUGUGUAUGUAGGGGACUCAGACCAGCAGAUUCCCACUGUUUAUCCACUGUUUGUGUUGAUGCAGUGUUUGGCCAGCCACUUGUGUGUUUUGGGGGCUCAGACCAGCAGAUUCCUACUAUUUAUCCACUGUUUGUGUUGAUCUAGUGUUUGGCCAGCCAGUUGUGUGUUUUGGGGGCUCAGACCAGCAGAUUCCCACUGUUUAUUCACUGUUUGUGUUGAUCUAGUGUUUGGCCAGCCACUUGUGUGUUUUGGGGGCUCAGACCAGCAGAUUCUCACUGUUUAUUCACUGUUUGUGUUGAUCUAGUGUUUGGCCAGCCACUUGUGUGUAUGUAGGGGACUCAGACCAGCAGAUUCCCACUGUUUAUCCAUUGUUUGUGUUGAUGCAGUGUUUAGCCAGCCACUUGUGUGUAUGUAGGGGACUCAGACCAGCAGAUUCCCACUGUUUAUCCACUGUUUGUGUUGAUGCAGUGUUUGGCCAGCCACUUGUGUGUAUGUAGGGGACUCAGACCAGCAGAUUCCCACUGUUUAUUCACUGUUUGUGUUGAUGCAGUAUUUGGCCAGCCACUUGUGUGUAUGUAGCGGACUCAGACCAGCAGAUUCCCACUGUUUAUCCACUGUUUGUGUUGAUGCAGUGUUUGGCCAGCCACUUGUGUGUUUUGGGGGCUCAGACCAGCAGAUUCCUACUAUUUAUCCACUGUUUGUGUUGAUCUAGUGUUUGGCCAGCCACUUGUGUUUAUGUAGGGGACUCAGACCAGCAGAUUCCCACUGUUUAUCCACUGUUUGUGUUGAUCUAGUGUUUGGCCAGCCAUUUGUGUGUUUUGGGGGCUCAGACCAGCAGAUUCCCACUGUUUAUUCACUGUUUGUGUUGAUCUAGUGUUUGGCCAGCCACUAGUGUGUUUUGGGGGCUCAGACCAGCAGAUUCUCACUGUUUAUUCACUGUUUGUGUUGAUCUAGUGUUUGGCCAGCCACUUGUGUGUAUGUAGGGGACUCAGACCAGCAGAUUCCCACUGUUUAUUCACUGUUUGUGUUGAUGCAGUAUUUGGCCAGCCACUUGUGUGUAUGUAGCGGACUCAGACCAGCAGAUUCCCACUGUUUAUCCACUGUUUGUGUUGAUGCAGUGUUUGGCCAGCCACUUGUGUGUUUUGGGGGCUCAGACCAGCAGAUUCCUACUAUUUAUCCACUGUUUGUGUUGAUCUAGUGUUUGGCCAGCCACUUGUGUUUAUGUAGGGGACUCAGACCAGCAGAUUCCCACUGUUUAUCCACUGUUUGUGUUGAUCUAGUGUUUGGCCAGCCACUUGUGUGUUUUGGGGGCUCAGACCAGCAGAUUCCCACUGUUUAUUCACUGUUUGUGUUGAUCUAGUGUUUGGCCAGCCACUAGUGUGUUUUGGGGGCUCAGACCAGCAGAUUCUCACUGUUUAUUCACUGUUUGUGUUGAUCUAGUGUUUGGCCAGCCACUUGUGUGUAUGUAGGGGACUCAGACCAGCAGAUUCCCACUGUUUAUUCACUGUUUGUGUUGAUCUAGUGUUUGGCCAGCCACUUGUGUGUAUGUAGGGGACUCAGACCAGCAGAUUCCCACUGUUUAUCCAUUGUUUGUGUUGAUGCAGUGUUUGGCCAGCCACUUGUGUGUAUGUAGGGGACUCAGACCAGCAGAUUCCCACUGUUUAUCCACUGUUUGUGUUGAUGCAGUGUUUGGCCAGCCACUUGUGUGUAUGUAGGGGACUCAGACCAGCAGAUUCCCACUGUUUAUCCACUGUUUGUGUUGAUCUAGUGUUUGGCCAGCCAGUUGUGUGUUUUGGGGGCUCAGACCAGCAGAUUCCCACUGUUUAUUCACUGUUUGUGUUGAUCUAGUGUUUGGCCAGCCACUUGUGUUUAUGUAGGGGAUUCAGACCAGCAGAUUCCCACUGUUUAUCCACUGUUUGUGUUGAUCUAGUGUUUGGCCAGCCAGUUGUGUGUUUUGGGGGCUCAGACCAGCAGAUUCCCACUGUUUAUUCACUGUUUGUGUUGAUGCAGUGUCUGGCCAGCCACUUGUGUGUUUUGGGGGCUCAGACCAGCAGAUUCCCACUGUUUAUUCACUGUUUGUGUUGAUGCAGUGUCUGGCCAGCCACUUGUGUGUUUUGGGGGCUCAGACCAGCAGAUUCCCAGUGUUUAUUCACUGUUUGUGUUGAUUUAGUGUUUGGCCAGCCACUUGUGUGUUUUGGGGGCUCAGACCAGCAGAUUCCCACUGUUUAUUCACUGUUUGUGUUGAUCUAGUGUUUGGCCAGCCACUUGUGUGUAUGUAGGGGACUCAGACCAGCAGAUUCCCACUGUUUAUCCACUGUUUGUGUUGAUGCAGUGUUUGGCCAGCCACUUGUGUGUUUUGGGGGCUCAGACCAGCAGAUUCCUACUAUUUAUCCACUGUUUGUGUUGAUCUAGUGUUUGGCCAGCCAGUUGUGUGUUUUGGGGGCUCAGACCAGCAGAUUCCCACUGUUUAUUCACUGUUUGUGUUGAUCUAGUGUUUGGCCAGCCACUUGUGUGUUUUGGGGGCUCAGACCAGCAGAUUCUCACUGUUUAUUCACUGUUUGUGUUGAUCUAGUGUUUGGCCAGCCACUUGUGUGUAUGUAGGGGACUCAGACCAGCAGAUUCCCACUGUUUAUCCAUUGUUUGUGUUGAUGCAGUGUUUAGCCAGCCACUUGUGUGUAUGUAGGGGACUCAGACCAGCAGAUUCCCACUGUUUAUCCACUGUUUGUGUUGAUGCAGUGUUUGGCCAGCCACUUGUGUGUAUGUAGGGGACUCAGACCAGCAGAUUCCCACUGUUUAUUCACUGUUUGUGUUGAUGCAGUAUUUGGCCAGCCACUUGUGUGUAUGUAGCGGACUCAGACCAGCAGAUUCCCACUGUUUAUCCACUGUUUGUGUUGAUGCAGUGUUUGGUCAGCCACUUGUGUGUUUUGGGGGCUCAGACCAGCAGAUUCCUACUAUUUAUCCACUGUUUGUGUUGAUCUAGUGUUUGGCCAGCCACUUGUGUUUAUGUAGGGGAUUCAGACCAGCAGAUUCCCACUGUUUAUCCACUGUUUGUGUUGAUCUAGUGUUUGGCCAGCCAGUUGUGUGUUUUGGGGGCUCAGACCAGCAGAUUCCCACUGUUUAUUCACUGUUUGUGUUGAUCUAGUGUUUGGCCAGCCACUUGUGUGUUUUGGGGGCUCAGACCAGCAGAUUCUCACUGUUUAUUCACUGUUUGUGUUGAUCUAGUGUUUGGCCAGCCACUUGUGUGUAUGUAGGGGACUCAGACCAGCAGAUUCCCACUGUUUAUCCAUUGUUUGUGUUGAUGCAGUGUUUAGCCAGCCACUUGUGUGUAUGUAGGGGACUCAGACCAGCAGAUUCCCACUGUUUAUCCACUGUUUGUGUUGAUGCAGUGUUUGGCCAGCCACUUGUGUGUAUGUAGGGGACUCAGACCAGCAGAUUCCCACUGUUUAUUCACUGUUUGUGUUGAUGCAGUAUUUGGCCAGCCACUUGUGUGUAUGUAGCGGACUCAGACCAGCAGAUUCCCACUGUUUAUCCACUGUUUGUGUUGAUGCAGUGUUUGGCCAGCCACUUGUGUGUUUUGGGGGCUCAGACCAGCAGAUUCCUACUAUUUAUCCACUGUUUGUGUUGAUCUAGUGUUUGGCCAGCCACUAGUGUGUUUUGGGGGCUCAGACCAGCAGAUUCUCACUGUUUAUCCACUGUUUGUGUUGAUCUAGUGUUUGGCCAGCCACUUGUGUGUAUGUAGGGGACUCAGACCAGCAGAUUCCCACUGUUUAUUCACUGUUUGUGUUGAUCUAGUGUUUGGCCAGCCACUUGUGUGUAUGUAGGGGAUUCAGACCAGCAGAUUCCCACUGUUUAUUCACUGUUUGUGUUGAUCUAGUGUUUGGCCAGCCACUUGUGUGUAUGUAGGGGACUCAGACCAGCAGAUUCCCACUGUUUAUUCACUGUUUGUGUUGAUGCAGUGUUUGGCCAGCCACUUGUGUGUAUGUAGGGGACUCAGACCAGCAGAUUCCCACUGUUUAUUCACUGUUUGUGUUGAUGCAGUGUUUGGCCAGCCACUUGUGUGUAUGUAGGGGACUCAGACCAGCAGAUUCCCACUGUUUAUCCACUGUUUGUGUUGAUGCAGUGUUUGGCCAGCCACUUGUGUGUUUUGGGGGCUCAGACCAGCAGAUUCCUACUAUUUAUCCACUGUUUGUGUUGAUCUAGUGUUUGGCCAGCCACUUGUGUUUAUGUAGGGGACUCAGACCAGCAGAUUCCCACUGUUUAUCCACUGUUUGUGUUGAUCUAGUGUUUGGCCAGCCACUUGUGUGUUUUGGGGGCUCAGACCAGCAGAUUCCCACUGUUUAUUCACUGUUUGUGUUGAUCUAGUGUUUGGCCAGCCACUAGUGUGUUUUGGGGGCUCAGACCAGCAGAUUCUCACUGUUUAUUCACUGUUUGUGUUGAUGCAGUGUUUGGCCAGCCACUUGUGUGUAUGUAGGGGACUCAGACCAGCAGAUUCCCACUGUUUAUCCAUUGUUUGUGUUGAUGCAGUGUUUGGCCAGCCACUUGUGUGUAUGUAGGGGACUGAGACAAGUUUAUUUAAUGUUCAGUGACCCAUUUGCAGGCACAGGGGUGUUGAGGAGCUGGGUGUGCAGGAGACAGACAAUUACAAAGGUUUACAGUUCAAAUGCUACAUGUAUCUUCAAAAUACAGAUAAUAAGUAGAUAAAUAUUGAAAUUAAUAUAAAAUACCAUUCUUUAUUUAACACUUAACCAAACUUAACCAACAUACACACACACGCUAACUCAGACAGUUCCCUAACUACCUUACCAUCCCGCAGGAGGCCAUGUCGGAGGUGCCGGUGGUGGGGUCGCCAGUUCCGGAGUACGAGGUGGAGGAGGAAAAGGAAGAGGAGGACGAGGAGGAGGCACGGAUAAGGAAGAAGAAAAGAUUAUUACCUGUAGCCCUCCCUCCAGCUGAUAAGGGGAUAUUAAGGAGCCCUUCCUACAGGUUUGUUCGAUGCAAGGAGUUGGCACAGGAGGCGUCCGAGGCUGUGUAGAGCGGCCGUCUGAACCUGGUGCCACAGCUUACUAUGUUCAACAGAUGCCUGAAGGAAGUGUGUGUAAGGGAGGAUAAAGAGAUCAUGCUGGCCUAUGCAGACGAUGUCGCUGUCGUGACAGGAAGCCAACAAGAUCUUCAAGAGGCCAUGACAAGAUGGAAUGAUGUUUUAAAUAGGGAAGGAAUGAGAAUGAACAAACAAAAAACAGAAAUAAUGAAAGUUGGCAGAAUAAAGGAGGAAUGUAAUAUUUACAUAGAAAACGUUAAACUGAAGCAGACCAACAAAUUUUGUUAUCUGGGAGUACUUUUCGAUGAGGAAAACAGACAGAAUAUAGAAAUUUUAAAUAGAAUACAGAAGUACAAUGCAAAUGUCAGUGCAUUGUAUCCCAUACUUAAAGAUAAGAAUAUUCCAACAAAAGUUAAAACCAUAAUAUUUACAACAAUACUAAGACCAGUACUUCUAUAUGUUUCAGAAACUUGGACAGUGACAACAAGAACAUCUUCACAAAUACAAGCAGCAGAAA
This is a long non-coding RNA of Scylla paramamosain (green mud crab), 9556 nucleotides long. RefSeq lists it as uncharacterized. Lineage: Eukaryota; Metazoa; Arthropoda; Malacostraca; Decapoda; Portunidae. The record is from RefSeq and is a predicted model, not a curated record. The transcript has 5 exons.